Long non-coding RNA from Stylophora pistillata, 1381 nucleotides. NCBI's taxonomy places the organism in Eukaryota, Metazoa, Cnidaria, Anthozoa, Scleractinia, Pocilloporidae. The record is from RefSeq and is a predicted model, not a curated record.
UUUUCUUGGGACUUUGUCAGACUGCACAGAGCGGAUUAAAAAUUUUGAAGGAAAUUUGGAAGAUGCUUCCAAUUUCGGAAAUAGGGCCAAAGCACAACGAUGGGAGCUAUGUUCCCUAGUUCGCUUUGCAAAAAGUUGGUGGGUUCUUGUAGCGACCCCGCUUAACCAGUACUUCAUCGUCCUCAUCCGAUAAGACUAGAACACGAAUCAUUUUGAGAUAUCAUGUCAAGGGCAGCACAUAAUCUUCAAUCAUUAAAAGACCUUGAGCGAUUUUGGGCUUGAACCCUCGAGCUGAUAAGAAAUCAAAUUCUUACUGCACAAGUUGAAUCUAGCUUGAUGCGUAGGUAUGACGAGGAAACGCGCUUAAAUAGAUUGAAAGCCGGACAGGGAUCGCUUAUUGGCCUUCCCUAAGAUAAGGCCGCUUGGAAAGAAAGUUUCUCUCCUAAAUCAGCCUAUGGUCAGUUCUCCCGACCGGGAACUUGCUGAGAUCCUUCAAAGUUGCGAAAAUGGCCGUCAGCCUUUAUGUUUGUGUGGACAUCAAAGACGAGAAAAGUAUGCUUAAGAAACCAUAUGCAUAGACUUACACCGGGGCAACAAAUGGUUAAACAACCAUAGAUAUAUACUCCAAGAACAAUUGACCAUCGGCAAACACGUGUCACUUCAGACCAUAUCCAGUUAAUCGUUGAUGACAUAGCUAUAGACCAACACUGGAGGGAUUUGGGCGUUAAGUUGAGACUAUCAACACCAGAGAUCGACAAUAUCGAUGCUGACUGCGAGUCUCCCCGCGAAAAAGCUUGGAAGGUGUGCCAAAAGUGGAGAAAGAGUAAAGCAAGCGGAGCCACGUUGGGAGUUCUUACAGAUGCUCUUGACAACAUAGGAAAAAAAAGUUCUUCGCGUAAACUGUUAGGUGGCGUGAAUUCAAACGUUAACAAAGGAGGUGAAAGACGACGUGGACAAAGGAAGAAACAGAGACAACACGUAGCAAAGAGAAAACAAUUGAAAUAACAGUAAUUACGUGGGGAGUAAAAUAAAUGAGGAGUUAGAUGGACAUCAUGUUUAUGUCAUGUAGAUUAAAAAGUCAAUUACUUGAUUUUUUUUCCCUCACAGGGUUAUUAGUAAAGAGAAUUUCCAGAGUUAUAAUAUGAUGUAUAAUUUUUGAAAAAUCUAUUCUUAGAAUAAGCAGAGACGUUUUUAGAAUCAAUAAUAAAUAUUUAAUGUAAAAGGGGAUCUGAUAGUGAUCCUUGAGGCGCUCUUUAAACAUUUUUUAUGCAAUGUUGUCCUUUCCUUCAUAUUUUUGAGAUAUAAGGUAAUUAGAGGUGGAUUUUAAAAGUAUUUUUAUACCGGACGCAAGAUGGUCGAAAUAGGCCGAAAAUCAUCCGAA